CACUAUCGUUAACUGAAUACAUAGGUUAACGAGGCGAACCGGGGGAACUGAAACAUCUAAGUACCCCGAGGAAAAGAAAUCAACCGAGAUUCCCCCAGUAGCGGCGAGCGAACGGGGAGCAGCCCAGAGUCUGAAUCAGCUUGUGUGUUAGUGGAACGGUCUGGAAAGUCCGACGGUACAGGGUGAUAGUCCCGUACACCAAAAUGCACAGGCUGUGAACUCGAAGAGUAGGGCGGGACACGUGGUAUCCUGUCUGAAUAUGGGGGGACCAUCCUCCAAGGCUAAAUACUCCUGACUGACCGAUAGUGAACCAGUACCGUGAGGGAAAGGCGAAAAGAACCCCGGCGAGGGGAGUGAAAAAGAACCUGAAACCGUGUACGUACAAGCAGUGGGAGCACCUUCGGGUGUGACUGCGUACCUUUUGUAUAAUGGGUCAGCGACUUAUAUUCUGUAGCAAGGUUAACCGUAUAGGGGAGCCGCAGGGAAACCGAGUCUUAACUGGGCGUUAAGUUGCAGGGUAUAGACCCGAAACCCGGUGAUCUAGCCAUGGGCAGGUUGAAGGUUGGGUAACACUAACUGGAGGACCGAACCGACUAAUGUUGAAAAAUUAGCGGAUGACUUGUGGCUGGGGGUGAAAGGCCAAUCAAACCGGGAGAUAGCUGGUUCUCCCCGAAAGCUAUUUAGGUAGCGCCUCGUGAACUCAUCUUCGGGGGUAGAGCACUGUUUCGGCUAGGGGGUCAUCCCGACUUACCAACCCGAUGCAAACUACGAAUACCGAAGAAUGUUAUCACGGGAGACACACGGCGGGUGCUAACGUCCGUCGUGAAGAGGGAAACAACCCAGACCGCCAGCUAAGGUCCCAAAGUCAUGGUUAAGUGGGAAACGAUGUGGGAAGGCACAGACAGCCAGGAUGUUGGCUUAGAAGCAGCCAUCAUUUAAAGAAAGCGUAAUAGCUCACUGGUCGAGUCGGCCUGCGCGGAAGAUGUAACGGGGCUAAACCAUGCACCGAAGCUGCGGCAGCGACACUAUGUGUUGUUGGGUAGGGGAGCGUUCUGUAAGCCUGCGAAGGUGUGCUGUGAGGCAUGCUGGAGGUAUCAGAAGUGCGAAUGCUGACAUAAGUAACGAUAAAGCGGGUGAAAAGCCCGCUCGCCGGAAGACCAAGGGUUCCUGUCCAACGUUAAUCGGGGCAGGGUGAGUCGACCCCUAAGGCGAGGCCGAAAGGCGUAGUCGAUGGGAAACAGGUUAAUAUUCCUGUACUUGGUGUUACUGCGAAGGGGGGACGGAGAAGGCUAUGUUAGCCGGGCGACGGUUGUCCCGGUUUAAGCAUGUAGGCUGAUUGUCCAGGCAAAUCCGGAUAAUCAAGGCUGAGGUGUGAUGACGAGGUACUACGGUGCUGAAGUAACAAAUGCCCUGCUUCCAGGAAAAGCCUCUAAGCAUCAGGUAACAUCAAAUCGUACCCCAAACCGACACAGGUGGUCAGGUAGAGAAUACCAAGGCGCUUGAGAGAACUCGGGUGAAGGAACUAGGCAAAAUGGUGCCGUAACUUCGGGAGAAGGCACGCUGGUGUGUAGGUGAAGUCCCUGCGGAUGGAGCUGAGACCAGUCGAAGAUACCAGCUGGCUGCAACUGUUUAUUAAAAACACAGCACUGUGCAAACACGAAAGUGGACGUAUACGGUGUGACGCCUGCCCGGUGCCGGAAGGUUAAUUGAUGGGGUUAUCCGUAAGGAGAAGCUCUUGAUCGAAGCCCCGGUAAACGGCGGCCGUAACUAUAACGGUCCUAAGGUAGCGAAAUUCCUUGUCGGGUAAGUUCCGACCUGCACGAAUGGCGUAAUGAUGGCCAGGCUGUCUCCACCCGAGACUCAGUGAAAUUGAACUCGCUGUGAAGAUGCAGUGUACCCGCGGCAAGACGGAAAGACCCCGUGAACCUUUACUAUAGCUUGACACUGAACAUUGAGCCUUGAUGUGUAGGAUAGGUGGGAGGCUUUGAAGCGUGGACGCCAGUCUGCGUGGAGCCAACCUUGAAAUACCACCCUUUAAUGUUUGAUGUUCUAACGUUGGCCCCUUACCGGGGUUGCGGACAGUGUCUGGUGGGUAGUUUGACUGGGGCGGUCUCCUCCCAAAGCGUAACGGAGGAGCACGAAGGUUAGCUAAUCCUGGUCGGACAUCAGGAGGUUAGUGCAAUGGCAUAAGCUAGCUUGACUGCGAGCGUGACGGCGCGAGCAGGUGCGAAAGCAGGUCAUAGUGAUCCGGUGGUUCUGAAUGGAAGGGCCAUCGCUCAACGGAUAAAAGGUACUCCGGGGAUAACAGGCUGAUACCGCCCAAGAGUUCAUAUCGACGGCGGUGUUUGGCACCUCGAUGUCGGCUCAUCACAUCCUGGGGCUGAAGUAGGUCCCAAGGGUAUGGCUGUUCGCCAUUUAAAGUGGUACGCGAGCUGGGUUUAGAACGUCGUGAGACAGUUCGGUCCCUAUCUGCCGUGGGCGCUGGAGAAUUGAGGGGGGCUGCUCCUAGUACGAGAGGACCGGAGUGGACGCAUCACUGGUGUUCGGGUUGUCAUGCCAAUGGCACUGCCCGGUAGCUAAAUGCGGAAGAGAUAAGUGCUGAAAGCAUCUAAGCACGAAACUUGCCCCGAGAUGAGUUCUCCCUGAGACUUUAAGUCUCCUGAAGGAACGUUGAAGACGACGACGUUGAUAGGCCGGGUGUGUAAGCGCAGCGAUGCGUUGAGCUAACCGGUACUAAUGAACCGUGAGGCUUAACCUU
Molecule: ribosomal RNA, 2758 nt
Filed under: Klebsiella pneumoniae
Lineage: Bacteria; Pseudomonadati; Pseudomonadota; Gammaproteobacteria; Enterobacterales; Enterobacteriaceae
Description: 23S ribosomal RNA
Rfam family: Bacterial large subunit ribosomal RNA
Source: RNAcentral